GAGUUUGAUCAUGGCUCAGGACGAACGCUGACGUGUGUGCUUUAACAUGCAAGUCGAACGAGAAAGCCCUUCGGGGUUAGUAAAGUGGCGAACGGGUGCGUAACACGUGGGUAAUCUACCCCUCGCAGAGGGACAACCGGGGGAAACCCCGGCUAAUACCUCGUACGCUUGCCGGGCCGCAUGGUCCGGUAAGAGAAAGGUAGCUUCGGCCAUCCGGCGAAGGAUGAGCCCGCGGUACAUUANCUAGAUUGGUGAAGUAACGGCUCACCAAGCUACGAUGUAUAGCUGGUCUGAGAAGAUGAUCAGCACACUGGGACUGAGACACGGGCCAGACUCCUACGGGAGGCAGCAGUCGGGAAUCUUGCACAAUGGGCGAAAGCCUGAUGCAGCAACACCGCGUGAGCGAAGAAGCCUUCGGGUCGUAAAGCUCUGUUGUUGGGGACGAAGGGCGAAGGGUUAAUAGCCCCUAGCCUGACGGUACCCUUCGAGGAAGCCCCGGCUAACUACGUGCCAGCAGCCGCGGUAAUACGUAGGGGGCGAGCGUUGUCCGGAAUUAUUGGGCGUAAAGAGCGUGUAGGCGGCCUGGUAAGUCUGCCGUGAAACCUUGGGGCUCAACCCCAAGCGUGCCGGUGGAUACUGCUAGGCCUAGAGGGAUGGGUAGAAGGCCGAGUGGAAUUCCCGG
Molecule: ribosomal RNA, 682 nt
Filed under: uncultured bacterium
Lineage: Bacteria
Description: bacterial SSU rRNA
Rfam family: Bacterial small subunit ribosomal RNA
Source: RNAcentral